AGCAGCCGCGGUAAUUCCAGCUCCAAUAGCGUAUAUUAAAGUUGUUGCAGUUAAAAAGCUCGUAGUUGAAUUUCGGGGUCAGUAGGUUGGUCAUGCCUCCGGUAUGUACUGGUCUCACUGAUUCCUCCUUCCUGAUGAGCCGUAAUGCCAUUAAUUUGGUGUUGCGGGGAAUCUGGACUGUUACUUUGAAAAAAUUAGAGUGUUUAAAGCAAGCUAACGCUUGAAUACAUUAGCAUGGAAUAAUGGAAUAGGACGUUCGAUCCUAUUUUGUUGGUUUCUAGGAUUGACGUAAUGAUUAAUAGGGAUAGUUGGGGGCAUUAGUAUUCAAUUGUCAGAGGUGAAAUUCUUGGAUUUAUUGAAGACUAACUACUGCGAAAGCAUUUGCCAAGGAUGUUUUCAUUAAUCAAGAACGAAAGUUAGGGGAUCGAAGACGAUCAGAUACCGUCGUAG
This 450-nucleotide ribosomal RNA is filed under the name uncultured Glomeromycotina. Its description in RNAcentral is "SSU rRNA". It matches the Rfam family "Eukaryotic small subunit ribosomal RNA", at positions 569 to 1023 of the family's 1831-position model. The record is from RNAcentral. Lineage: Eukaryota; Fungi; Glomeromycota.